This 535-nucleotide ribosomal RNA is filed under the name uncultured bacterium. RNAcentral's name for it is "bacterial SSU rRNA". It matches the Rfam family "Bacterial small subunit ribosomal RNA", at positions 8 to 526 of the family's 1533-position model. The record is from RNAcentral.
AGAGUUUGAUCAUGGCUCAGAGCGAACGUUAGCGGCGCGCCUAACACAUGCAAGUCGCACGAGAGUGGAGCAAUCCAUGAAAGUGGCGCACGGGUGCGUAACACGUAGAUAAUCUGCCCUUCAGCGGGGGAUAACGUUCCGAAAGGAGCGCUAAUACCGCAUACAGCAGUCGGUGGUUCGCCAUCGAUUGGCAAAGGCUGGGCUCCGCAAGAACCAGCCACUGAAGGAGGAGUCUGCGGCCCAUCAGCUAGUUGGCGAGGUAAUGGCUCACCAAGGCAAAGACGGGUAGCUGGUCUGAGAGGAUGAUCAGCCACACUGGUACUGGAACACGGACCAGACUCCUACGGGAGGCAGCAGUGGGGAAUCUUGGUCAAUGGGCGCAAGCCUGAACCAGCGACGCCGCGUGAGUGAUGAAGGCCUUCGGGUUGUAAAGCUCUGUGGGGAGAGACGAAAGAAUCGGUUCUAACAGGACCGAAGUUGACGGUAUCUCCUUAGCAAGCACCGGCUAACUCUGUGCCAGCAGCCGCGGUAAUAC